CCUGACUGCUAUCGGAUUGAUACUAAGCCAUGUGAGUCAUUGCAGCAAUGCAAGGCAGACGGCUCAGUAACACGUAGUCAACCUACCCUAUAGACGGGGGUAACCUCGGGAAACUGAGGAUAAACCCCGAUAGAUCAUUAUGCCUGGAACGGUUUAUGGUCCAAAUGAUUCGUCGCUAUAGGAUGGGACUGCGGCCUAUCAGCUUGUUGGUGAGGUAAUGGCCCACCAAGGCUAUUACAGGUACGGGCUCUGAGAGGAGAGGCCCGGAGAUGGGUACUGAGACACGGACCCAGGUCCUAUGGGGCGCAGCAGGCGAGAAAACUUUGCAAUGUGCGCAAGCACGACAAGGUUAAUCCGAGUGAUUCCUGCUAAAGGAAUCUUUUGUUAGUUGUAAAACCACUUAUGAAUAAGGGGUGGGCAAGUUCUGGUGUCAGCCGCCGCGGUAAAACCAGCACCUCAAGUGGUCAGGAUGAUUAUUGGGCCUAAAGCAUCCGUAGCCGGCUCUGUAAGUUUUCGGUUAAAUCUGUACGCUCAACGUACAGGCUGCUGGGAAUACUGCAGAGCUAGGGAGUGGGAGAGGUAGACGGUACUCGGGAGGAAGUGGUAAAAUGCUUUGAUCUCUCGAUGACCACCUGUGGCGAAGGCGGUCUACCAGAACACGUCCGACGGUGAGGGAUGAAAGCUGGGGGAGCAAACCGGAUUAGAUACCCGGGUAGUCCCAGCUGUAAACUAUGCAAACUCAGUGAUGCGUUGGCUUAUGGCCAGCGCAGUGUUGCAGGGAAGCCGUUAAGUUUGCCGCCUGGGAAGUACGUACGCAAGUAUGAAACUUAAAGGAAUUGGCGGGGGAGCACCACAAGGGGUAAAGCCUGCGGUUC
This 875-nucleotide ribosomal RNA is filed under the name uncultured Candidatus Nitrosopumilus sp. RNAcentral's name for it is "bacterial SSU rRNA". It matches the Rfam family "Archaeal small subunit ribosomal RNA", at positions 21 to 903 of the family's 1478-position model. Lineage: Archaea; Thermoproteati; Nitrososphaerota; Nitrososphaeria; Nitrosopumilales; Nitrosopumilaceae. The record is from RNAcentral.